Molecule: microRNA precursor, 63 nt
Filed under: Parasteatoda tepidariorum (common house spider)
Lineage: Eukaryota; Metazoa; Arthropoda; Arachnida; Araneae; Theridiidae
Description: microRNA pte-mir-993a precursor
Gene: pte-mir-993a
Source: miRBase by way of RNAcentral
GGGACCUGUAGAAUCGGGCUACUGUGUGUUUAACAAUUCAGAAGCUCGUCUCUACAGGAACGU